Molecule: ribosomal RNA, 393 nt
Filed under: uncultured bacterium
Lineage: Bacteria
Description: partial 16S ribosomal RNA
Rfam family: Bacterial small subunit ribosomal RNA
Source: RNAcentral
AUACGGAGGAUCCGAGCGUUAUCCGGAUUUAUUGGGUUUAAAGGGUGCGUAGGCGGCCUUUUAAGUCAGCGGUGAAAGUCUGUGGCUCAACCAUAGAAUUGCCGUUGAAACUGGGGGGCUUGAGUAUGUUUGAGGCAGGCGGAAUGCGUGGUGUAGCGGUGAAAUGCUUAGAUAUCACGAAAAACCCCGAUUGCGAAGGCUGCCUGCAAAGCCAUGACUGACGCUGUUGCACGAAAGCGUGGGGAUCAAACAGGAUUAGAUACCCUGGUAGUCCACGCAGUAAACGAUGAUCACUAGCUGUUUGCGAUACACUGUAAGCGGCACAGCGAAAGCGUUAAGUGAUCCACCUGGGGAGUACGCCGGCAACGGUGAAACUCAAAUGAAUUGACGGGG